ACGGCGUGAUAUUGGUACGGCUC
RNAcentral lists this microRNA (23 nucleotides) under Glycine max (soybean). RNAcentral describes it as "gma-miR171b-5p". Its record names the gene gma-miR171b-5p. Lineage: Eukaryota; Viridiplantae; Streptophyta; Magnoliopsida; Fabales; Fabaceae. The record is from miRBase by way of RNAcentral.